AGAAUUAUUUUUUUCCGGAUUUCGUUUUGGAGGAGCCUCAGUAACCAUCAAAAACUGAUUGAAGAGAGCUGUAACUUCAUAAAGGGACCACAGGACUGUACUGCGGGGUGACAUUUCCACGAAAUAGUAUAAUGGAAGCCAAGGCCAUGCUCGUGCUGCUCAUGUUGUGUUGUUGGUGUCUAGUCAGUCAACAAGUCCACGCAUCAAGACUAGACGGUCUCAGACAACAGUACAACCUUGACAGGGAGAUCGAUCCGGAAACGCAGCGGAAAAGGCGCCCACUGAGCUCGCUCAACAGGAGACCCGAGCAACACGACUACCAUUUCGGCGGCACCCUCUUCCGUAAAAGGAUGCUUGGUAAUGGCGAAUAUGUGGUCCAAGAUCCGGGCUACUACGCAUUCGAAGACGAGUAAAGAUGAGGCCUAUACAUCUUCAAGACAGAUACGUAAUUCCUACAAGACAGUUGACACCAUUCCUUUGACAAGCCUUGCCGCAUAGACCGACUUCAUAAUUGACUGCAUGGUUGGCUGAAGAAUUAUUCAAAAUGUAAUCAUUCAAUGAGAUGAUUUUUUUUUAAUUCGUUGUUAGAAUAAGUCACAUGGACAUACAGUUCAAAGCUCCUGUAUAUUUUGUUGCCGCGGUUAGAAGAUACGCGGUUGUUAACAUAUUUAUUUAAAACAUCGAACAUUCCUACCAAAAAAACAAAAUGACCGAAGAUUUGCUUCUGAACUUACUGAAGCAAAUUCUGUGCAGUGAUGUACAUUGGUUGACAUCUCACUUACACAAUGUAAUGCUAGGCAACAGAGCUAGGUCAUUUUAUAUAAAAGACAUAUAUUUGUAUUCAAUUGACCAUCAUUGUUGAUGCCAUUAUACUGUAUACGCCGUACUACAUGUUUGUCAAUAGGCGUAGCAGUGGCAGCCUAAUUAUGGAUGUACAUGUACUAUGUACCAUUUGUUCAAGUUUAAUGUCUGUUUAAAACUUUUUGUCAUGAUGUUGGCCUAAAUGACAGGUAUCCUGUGUACGUCUAAUUCAAUAUCAGAUCUCACGCUUUGAAAGGAAUUCUUGCCUCUUUCUUGAGUAACCAGGUCACACUUUCUACACGUUAAAUCAAUUUUAAAAGAUUGCUUUUUUGUAUAGAUUUUCCUCUUAGUAUACUUCCAGUCUAUCAGUAACUACAAGCUACGUCAGAACCCCUCCGCCGAGUAUUUGUAUUAAAAGUUACCCCAUUUUUUUAUCAACUCGCCCAUCUCAGUCUUUCGGCUUCUGAAGACGAUCUUAAAGUUAAAAAAAAUGUCUGUGGUAAAAGACAGUCUUGUGGUUAUCCGUACAGCCUCAUUGUGGGAUAACCUUUAAUUUGAACGUCUUUUGAAUGAUAAUGUUAGUCCACCAAUAUUGAUUGGAAUAUUUAUUACAUGUCAUCUGGCUGCUCAAUUCCCCAUACUGAAUGUAGCACUAGCCAGACGUCAAGACGAUACUGUAAGAGUUACGCCAUCAGUGAUUAAGCUUGGAGAUGACAUAUCUUUUUGCACUGUUUAGCGACCCGGUGUAUGGCAAUGAACUAUCUUAAUAAAAUUAGUGAAAUCCCUAAUGAAAUUACACACUACCCCCGGAGUGAUGCAUCAUUUUACCGUAUAAUUAAACGGACAGUUGAUGUUGUCAAAGACUGUCCGUGACUUCUCACGUCUGAAAGUCUAACUUGACUGAUUUUUAAUUAGAGUUAAGUAGUGACCGCUCCUGCAUUUCUAUUGCCGCUGGCUUCCGAACACGUAUUAAAUUUUAAAUCAACCUCAGUCCUAGGGUCUUGCAGUACGCUCUUUACUAUAGGAUACGUGGUUGAAAAUAAAGUAAGCCCUUGGGACGAUAUUUCUUUAUCUGAAAUUACAAAAAAGUGACGAAAAUUUUAAUAAAUCAAGCACAAGUAAGUGUUUGACAUCUGCAUAAUUAGUAACAAUUCUCAAUGCAUAGUGAUAAAGAAAGGGAGAAUAAUUUUUCAGUGUACGCUUUAUAAAUAUGCCGAUUUGGAAGCAAUAGCAGCGACGGUGGUGAUAUAUUACAAAAUAAACGAAGGGACAUGAAACAUCUUUGUCUCAUUUAUUAUUAAAUGUAAAGCAUAAGUCAUUGAGAGCAAUGCUGCGGCUAUUGAACAACUUGUUUUCCGACAUUGUAAAUCUGACGAAAUAAAC
This is a long non-coding RNA of Patiria miniata (bat star), 2184 nucleotides long. RefSeq lists it as uncharacterized. The record is from RefSeq and is a predicted model, not a curated record. Lineage: Eukaryota; Metazoa; Echinodermata; Asteroidea; Valvatida; Asterinidae. The transcript has 3 exons.